This 190-nucleotide ribosomal RNA is filed under the name uncultured bacterium. RNAcentral's name for it is "partial 16S ribosomal RNA". It matches the Rfam family "Bacterial small subunit ribosomal RNA", at positions 169 to 353 of the family's 1533-position model. The record is from RNAcentral.
CCGCAUAAGACCACAGUACCGCAUGGUACAGUGAUCAAAGGAUUUAUUUCGCUGAAGGAUGGCUUCGCGUCCGAUUAGGUAGUUGGUGAGGUAACGGCCCCACCAAGCCUACGAUCGGUAGCCGGACCGAGAGGUUGAUCGGCCACAUUGGGACUGAGACACGGCCCAGACUCCUACGGGAGGCAGCAUG